CUAAGUACUUAUAACAGAUAAUGGAAAGCAGUUCGACAAUUCACAAUUCAGAAACUUCUGUGUUAAUCUCGGGAUUGACCAUCGUCUGACGUCAGUAUCGCACCCUCAAAGCAAUGGCCUCGCUGAGGUGACAAGUAGGAUCAUACUUCAGGACCUUCGCACCAGGAUCGGAAAUACAAGAGGUGACUGACCCGAUGAGUUGCCCUCCAUAUUGUUGGCAUAUAGAACUUCUCAUAAAACAGCAACAGGUGAGACUCUUUUCAUGUUAGCUUUCGGCUUAGAGGCCACUAUUCCCAUCGAAGUCAGUCUCCCCACUUUAAGAAGAGUUGAACCCGGCGUGGAAGACCAAACAACCGAACAUCUUGACUUACUUGAAGAAGUAAGAGAGCAAGCUUCACUGGGAGCUGCUAGUUACCAAAAUAAAACGGCAAAGUACUUUAACACCAAAGUCAAGUCCCGAGAAUUUAAGAGUGGCGAUUUGGUUCUAAGAAGACCAGAGGCAGCUGGACACCCUCCAGGUAAACUUGGACUGGUAUGAAAAGGGCCAUUCGAAGUCAUACGAAGGAUCAAAGGAGGAGCAUACAGCCUUAGAGAUACUUCAGAAAAUCCACUCUCAAGGCCUUGGAAUGUGGAUAACCUAAAAAUAUAUUACAAGUAGAAUAGCAAUAACGUCGCACAAGGGUUUGCACACGCGCCUUAUUUUUAUUUUUAGUAGCUCGGGUUUAUGAACCCUUGAGCAUUUUUUGCUUUCAGUAGCUCGGGCUACGUACCCUUGAGCACCUAAUAAUAUCCAAGUUUUUUUUUUACUAGAAGUACUUAAACUUUGGCGUAACAACGUGCUUCGGGCAUGCAGCCAACUCUUCAACAUUAGUGUAAUGACGUGCUAUGGGCAUGCAACUAAUAACUUUGGCAUAAUGACGUGCUACGAGCAUGCAACUAAUAACUCUGGUAUAAUAACGUGCUUCGGGCAUGCAGCCAAUUCUUCAACAUUAGUGUAAUGACGUGCUACAGGCAUGCAACUAAUAACUCUGGCAUAAUGACGUGCUUCGGGCAUGCAGCCAAUUCUUCAACAUUAGUGUAAUGACGUGCUACGGGCAUGCAACUAAUAACUCUG
RNAcentral lists this long non-coding RNA (1114 nucleotides) under Olea europaea subsp. europaea. Lineage: Eukaryota; Viridiplantae; Streptophyta; Magnoliopsida; Lamiales; Oleaceae. The record is from RNAcentral.